AGUGAACGCUGGCGGUAGGCCUAACACAUGCAAGUCGAACGGCAGCACAGUAAGAGCUUGCUCUUACGGGUGGCGAGUGGCGGACGGGUGAGGAAUACAUCGGAAUCUACUUUUUCGUGGGGGAUAACGUAGGGAAACUUACGCUAAUACCGCAUACGACCUACGGGUGAAAGCAGGGGUUCUUCGGACCUUGCGCGAUUGAAUGAGCCGAUGUCGGAUUAGCUAGUUGGCGGGGUAAAGGCCCACCAAGGCGACGAUCCGUAGCUGGUCUGAGAGGAUGAUCAGCCACACUGGAACUGAGACACGGUCCAGACUCCUACGGGAGGCAGCAGUGGGGAAUAUUGGACAAUGGGCGCAAGCCUGGUCCAGCCAUACCGCGUGGGUGAAGAAGGCCUUCGGGUUGUAAAGCCCUUUUGUUGGGAAAGAAAAGCAGCAGGUUAAUACCCCGCUGUUCUGACGGUACCCAAAGAAUAAGCACCGGCUAACUUCGUG
RNAcentral lists this ribosomal RNA (492 nucleotides) under uncultured bacterium. Its description in RNAcentral is "partial 16S ribosomal RNA". It matches the Rfam family "Bacterial small subunit ribosomal RNA", at positions 29 to 507 of the family's 1533-position model. The record is from RNAcentral.